UAGGGAAUCUUCGGCAAUGGACGAAAGUCUGACCGAGCAACGCCGCGUGAGUGAAGAAGGUUUUCGGAUCGUAAAACUCUGUUGUUAGAGAAGAACAAGGACGUUAGUAACUGAACGUCCCCUGACGGUAUCUAACCAGAAAGCCACGGCUAACUACGUGCCAGCAGCCGCGGUAAUACGUAGGUGGCAAGCGUUGUCCGGAUUUAUUGGGCGUAAAGCGAGCGCAGGCGGUUUCUUAAGUCUGAUGUGAAAGCCCCCGGCUCAACCGGGGAGGGUCAUUGGAAACGGGGGAACUUGGAGGCAGAAGGGGGGGGUGAAAUUCCAGGUGAGGGGGUGAAAUCCGUGGAUAUAUGGAGGAACACCAGUGGCAAAGGCGGCUUUCUGGUCUGUAACUGAGCCUGAGGCUCGAAGCGUGGGGAGCAAACAGG
This 428-nucleotide ribosomal RNA is filed under the name Gemmatimonadota bacterium. Its description in RNAcentral is "Gemmatimonadetes bacterium partial 16S ribosomal RNA". It matches the Rfam family "Bacterial small subunit ribosomal RNA", at positions 355 to 776 of the family's 1533-position model. The record is from RNAcentral. Lineage: Bacteria; Pseudomonadati; Gemmatimonadota.